UGAGGAAUAUUGCGCAAUGGGCGAAAGCCUGACGCAGCGACGCCGCGUGGAGGACGAAGGCCUUCGGGUCGUAAACUCCUGUCAAGAGGGACGAAAGCGUAGAGGAUGAAUAAGUUUCUGCGUUGACGGUACCUCUGGAGGAAGCCCCGGCUAACUCCGUGCCAGCAGCCGCGGUAAUACGGAGGGGGCCAGCGUUGUUCGGAAUUAUUGGGCGUAAAGGGCGCGUAGGCGGCUUGGUAAGUCGGUUGUGAAAUCCCUCGGCUCAACUGAGGAACUGCGACCGAAACUGCCAGGCUUGAGUCCCGGAGAGGGUAGCGGAAUUCCCAGUGUAGCGGUGAAAUGCGUAGAUAUUGGGAGGAACACCAGUGGCGAAGGCGGCUACCUGGACGGGUACUGACGCUGAGGCGCGAAAGCGUGGGGAGCAAACAGGAUUAGAUACCCCCGUAGUCC
This 450-nucleotide ribosomal RNA is filed under the name uncultured prokaryote. RNAcentral describes it as "bacterial SSU rRNA". It matches the Rfam family "Bacterial small subunit ribosomal RNA", at positions 355 to 796 of the family's 1533-position model. The record is from RNAcentral.